RNAcentral lists this ribosomal RNA (443 nucleotides) under uncultured bacterium. RNAcentral's name for it is "partial 16S ribosomal RNA". It matches the Rfam family "Bacterial small subunit ribosomal RNA", at positions 338 to 795 of the family's 1533-position model. The record is from RNAcentral.
CCUACGGGAGGCAGCAGUGGGGGAUAUUGGACAAUGGGGGGAACCCUGAUCCAGCGACGCCGCGUGAGUGAAGAAGUAUUUCGGUAUGUAAAGCUCUGUCAGCAGGGAAGAAAGAAAUGACUGUAACUGAUCAAGCAGUCCCGGAUAACUACGUGCCAGCAGCCGCCGUACUACGUAGGGAGCAAGCGUUAUGCGGAAUUACUGGGUGUAAAGGGAGCGUAGACGGUUAAGUAAGUCUGGAGUGAAAUGCCGGGGCUCAACCCCGGGACUGCUCUGGAAACCAUUGAACUUGAGUGCAGGAGAGGUAAGCGGAAUUCCUAGUGUAGCGGUGAAAUGCGUAGAUAUUAGGAGGAACACCAGUGGCGAAGGCGGCUUACUGGAACGUAACUGACGGUGAGGCUCGAAAGCGUGGGGAGCAAACAGGAUUAGAUACCCUUGUAGUC